GACUGUAUGACCCAGCCUUGACAUACAAAGAAAGAGGUUACAAACCCAUGAUGCUCUGGUGCCGCGGGUGCUGACAGUCGCAGGCGCACCAUCUCUGACGUCACACAUGCCAGAAUAAUCGGUACUGCUGACGACGGUUGUGAAGAAAAAGACGUCGAGUUGCGCAAAGAUAGCGAGACGGACAGCAACCUAGAGUCCGACACGCAGUCUACGGCUGCUGACGAGUGCGCAGAGAAAGAAAUAGACUGGUGAGCGUGGACGAAACCGACGACGCAAAGUUAGAUGAUGUUGAAAACGCGAAAGAGCAGAUGAUAGCCGUGAACUGUGAGGAUGCAGACGAGGAAAAGUUCGUUCAGGGAGAGCAGCGACCCCUCGCCAAAGACACAACGUUAGAAAACGACGAAUCGGACGGAGAGGACAGGAGGAAAUCAGUGGCGUGAUGGAACUAAAAGACGAUGACGACGACAGAGUAGCUGAAUAUGAAGACAAAGGCAUUUUGGGGUGAAGUGGUUUAAUGUGUAGAAUUAGACACUUGUUUCCACCGCCCAUCGAUGUUUUCACUCAUCCCAACUCUCUCCACGACAUGGUAAUGAGGUCACAACUCCCCCACGACAUGGUAAUGAGGUCACAACUCUCCCCACAUGGUAAUGAGGUCACAGAGUUUAGUUGCUGUUUGUAGAAGUCCGUCGACUUCCUCAGCAUGUUUACCGUUCUUUGUUUUUGUGCACCUGUCCACGCAGUGGCUUUAAAUGGUUUUCCACUUAGCAGCGUGGCGUUUGAUCUGUCUGUGAUGACUGAAGUUAUAUAUUAACCGUCAGAUUCAUUUUCUGUUCUUUCCAGUUGUCACGCAGUAUGGCAGAAUAAGCCUAAUGAGCUGCGCCUUGUGUACAUUGCCUUUUUAUGCAUGAUGUUUUGGCUUCUAUAUUGUCGCUGUUUUAAAAAACUUUGUCCCACGUGAUUUUGGCCUGUUUCUGACCUCGCUUGCAUACGUACAGAGACAGAGAGGAAUCGUCCACUCUCACUUCACGUGUGUAUGAAGUAAAAGGGGAGGAGCUUGAUGACGUUGAGGAAAAACGAAGGGAGCCACAGCUAGGGGGUAGUGAUUCUGCACUUCCACUCCUCGAGACCCAACUACCCAAGGGAUGCCUUUUUGUCUGUUUUACGACUUGACAGUAUAACAUUUUUUUUUUGUUGCUUGCAUAUGUAUAAGAUAAAUUAUGAUUAUGAAGGGAGGCAAAGCCAGGAGGGAGUGAUUCUGCCCCACCAAGGAGAGGGAGGAGGUUGAAUGAAAAAUAAUGGGGAAACAAAAGAUUUUUCUCAUUAAUGGCGAGCUUUACAGCAAGGCUUCCAGAGGACAUUCUUAGAGAUCUCUUUCUGGAAGUACAUGAAUUAAGCCACACAAAAAAAACUAAUGAUCGAACACUUGUUUAGACACUUACAAGCUAUAACCGAGGAUUUGCCUGAAGAAGUGGCGAUGAUUUAAAAAAAAAAAAACACAGAUGAAAGAGCGUGAAUAACGAGAGUGAGUAAGGAAAGUUUUUAGAAUGCAUGUAUGGAUAACAUAAAUUAUUUGCUGUUCACCUAUUCUUUCUUCACUUAUCGAUACCAACACAACCAGGUACGGAGUGUAAGAAGUCUUUUUGCGUGGUUUUUUUUUUUCAGCAAUUGAAACAUCAAGAGGCGUAUCCCGCCACCGCAGAAAAAAGCUUGCCAUAGCGCACAUAACGGGAUUUAUACAAACCGUGGCUGAAGGUCUGAUGUUGGAAGACAUCGUUCCUUUAAGUGCAAUCCUAAUUAAUGAUAUCAACAGCUUCAUAAAUGCUGGAAAGGUAAACCAUCAUAAAGCCAGUAACUAAGGCUCUAAGGUCAUAGAGGAACAAGUUUUGUAAAUAGUUGAAGCAUUUGUGACAGUUUUAUUUUGUUAGUCUUAUUUUCUACUGUACUUGUCUUCCAUAAAUCAUUGGUGUGUUAUAUGGGUGUUCUUAUACCAGUAGGUUGAAAUAUGCACAUGUAUAAUGUCUUUUUUUA
RNAcentral lists this long non-coding RNA (2028 nucleotides) under Pomacea canaliculata. RNAcentral's name for it is "uncharacterized LOC112558925, transcript variant X1". The record is from RNAcentral. Lineage: Eukaryota; Metazoa; Mollusca; Gastropoda; Architaenioglossa; Ampullariidae.